RNAcentral lists this long non-coding RNA (1263 nucleotides) under Piliocolobus tephrosceles (Ugandan red Colobus). Its description in RNAcentral is "lncRNA (ENSPTEG00000007118.1)". The record is from RNAcentral. Lineage: Eukaryota; Metazoa; Chordata; Mammalia; Primates; Cercopithecidae.
CAAGAGUGUGCUGUGGUGAAGGCGAUGUGUAAACUGAUGUUUUUCAUUCGUUUUCUCAUUCAUUCCAUUGUCCCAAGAGCCUGCGGUGUAGGCAGGUUCAAUUAUAUCACCAUCAUCACCACCACCAUCACCACCACCAUCACCACCAUCAUCAUCACCUCCAUCACCACCACCAUCACUAUCACCACCACCAUCAUCAUUACCAACAUCAUCACCACGACCAACAUCAUCACCACUACUCACUCACCACUACCACCAUCAUUAGUACCACCAUCAUCAUUAUCACCACCACCAUCAUCAUCGUCACCACCAUCGUUACCACCACCAGNNNNNNNNNNCACCAGCAUCAUUACCACCACCACCAAUAUCAUCAUCACCACCAUCACCAUCAUCAUCACCACCACCAUCACCAUCACCACCAGCAUCAUUAUCACCACCACCAAUAUCAUUAUCACCAUCACCAAUAUCAUCAUCACCACCACCACCACCAUCAUCACCACCACCAUCACCAUCACCAUCAUCACCACUACCACCAGCACCAUUAUCGCCACCACCACCAUGAUCAUCAUCAUCACCACCACCAUCACCAGCAUCAUUAUCACCACCACCAAAAUCAUUAUCACCACCACCAUCACCAUCACCAUCAUCAUCACCACCACCACCACCAUCAUCAAAGGGAAGUGACUAAGGGACAUUGGCACUUAAUGAGCUCUGCAUCCCUCAACAUCAGGAACCCAUGACCACAGCCAUGUUGUCAGUAUCAUUCAGACCUAUUUGUGCUUUUGUUCCUUUCUCCUGCUACGUAUUCUUUUGAUAUCUUUACUUUUUUGAGUAAAAAGAGUUUUUAAAGGAAAUGUGUAAAUAUUAAAUACAUUUUAAAAAUGAUGUAAUGGUGAUGAUGCCACCACCCACCAUGCAGUGGUUUUCUCUUUGCUUAUUCCUUUUCAUGUGCAUGUCUAUGCCAUUUUGCAUUCUUCCAUUUGGACAAAACAUAUUGCAUUUUUCCAUUUGGACAAAAUUUCCUACGUUUGUUUUACUUGCAGUAAAAUGCACAAAACAUACAAUUUACCAUCUUAACUGUACAUUUUUAUGAGUACGGUUCAGUGGCAUUAAGUACAUUCACAUUGGUGUGCUACCAAUAGUACAAUCCAUCUGCAGAACUCUUUUCAUUUUGCAAAACUGAAACUCUGUACCCAUUACACAACUCCCCAUACCUCUCCCCCCCGAGCCUCUGGCAACUACCAUUCUACUUUCUGUCCCUAU